This 448-nucleotide ribosomal RNA is filed under the name uncultured bacterium. RNAcentral describes it as "bacterial SSU rRNA". It matches the Rfam family "Bacterial small subunit ribosomal RNA", at positions 330 to 792 of the family's 1533-position model. The record is from RNAcentral.
GCCAGACUCCUACGGGAGGCAGCAGUGGGGAAUAUUGGACAAUGGGGGGAACCCUGAUCCAGCGACGCCGCGUGAGUGAAGAAGUAUUUCGGUAUGUAAAGCUCUCUCAGCAGGGAAGAAAGAAAUGACGGUACCUGACUAAGAAGCCCCGGCUAACUACGUGCCAGCAGCCGCGGUAAUACGUAGGGGGCAAGCGUUAUCCGGAUUCACUGGGUGUAAAGGGAGCGUAGACGGCGACGCAAGUCUGGAGUGAAAGCCCGGGGCCCAACCCCGGGACUGCUCUGGAAACUGCGUCGCUGGAGUACGGGAGGGGCAGGCGGAAUUCCUGGUGUAGCGGUGAAAUGCGUAGAUAUCAGGAGGAACACCGGCGGCGAAGGCGGCCUGCUGGACCGUGACUGACGUUGAGGCUCGAGAGCGUGGGGAGCAAACAGGAUUAGAUACCCCAGUA